Molecule: long non-coding RNA, 310 nt
Filed under: Olea europaea (common olive)
Lineage: Eukaryota; Viridiplantae; Streptophyta; Magnoliopsida; Lamiales; Oleaceae
Description: long non-coding RNA (OEUR_LNC011067)
Source: RNAcentral
UGAUCUUAAUGGAGAUUGUUUUUUUUUUCUUUUGACCGAGCUCAUUUGUGUUAUCGUCGUGUUUCUAUUUUCAUAUGUGCCGAACAUUAAUCAAUACCUCGAGAAGGAUUGAUUAUCUCAUUCAUAAAGACAAUUAAUUAUCUCGACGAUAACGACAAUUAAUUAUCUCGACGACAAUAUCGAAUUAAUAUCCCGACGAAUAAAAAUCAUGACGAUUGAAAACAAAUCAAUCUGAUUUUUAAACAAGUCUUAAUGCCGGGGACAAUAGCGAAUAGUUCAACAGCUUGACGGUAAAUCUGUCCCGACGUUU